GACGAACGCUGGCGGCGUGCUUAACACAUGCAAGUCGAACGGAAAGGCCCUGCUUUUGUGGGGUGCUCGAGUGGCGAACGGGUGAGUAACACGUGAGUAACCUGCCCUUGACUUUGGGAUAACUUCAGGAAACUGGGGCUAAUACCGGAUAGGAGCUCCUGCUGCAUGGUGGGGGUGGAAAAUUUUCGGCGGUUGGGGAUGGACUGGCGGCUUAUCAGCUUGUUGGUGGGGUAGUGGCUUACCAAGGCUUUGACGGGUAGCCGGCCUGAGAGGGUGACCGGCCACAUUGGGACUGAGAUACGGCCCAGACUCCUACGGGAGGCAGCAGUGGGGAAUAUUGCACAAUGGGCGGAAGCCUGAUGCAGCAACGCCGCGUGCGGGAUGACGGCCUUCGGGUUGUAAACCGCUUUCGCCUGUGACGAAGCGUGAGUGACGGUAAUGGGUAAAGAAGCACCGGCUAACUACGUG
Molecule: ribosomal RNA, 468 nt
Filed under: uncultured bacterium
Lineage: Bacteria
Description: partial 16S ribosomal RNA
Rfam family: Bacterial small subunit ribosomal RNA
Source: RNAcentral